This 84-nucleotide transfer RNA is filed under the name Elusimicrobiota bacterium. Its description in RNAcentral is "Elusimicrobia bacterium (hot springs metagenome) tRNA-Leu". It matches the Rfam family "tRNA". Rfam says of the family: Transfer RNA (tRNA) molecules are approximately 80 nucleotides in length. Their secondary structure includes four short double-helical elements and three loops (D, anti-codon, and T loops). Further hydrogen bonds mediate the characteristic L-shaped molecular structure. tRNAs have two regions of fundamental functional importance: the anti-codon, which is responsible for specific mRNA codon recognition, and the 3' end, to which the tRNAs corresponding amino acid is attached (by aminoacyl-tRNA synthetases). tRNAs cope with the degeneracy of the genetic code in two manners: having more than one tRNA (with a specific anti-codon) for a particular amino acid; and 'wobble' base-pairing, i.e. permitting non-standard base-pairing at the 3rd anti-codon position. The record is from RNAcentral. Lineage: Bacteria; Pseudomonadati; Elusimicrobiota.
GCCGUGGUGCUGGAAUUGGCAGACAGGUACCGCUCAGGACGGUAUGGGUUAAAACCCGUGUGGGUUCAAAUCCCACCCACGGCA